AAGUCGUAACAAGGUCUCCGUAGGUGAACCUGCGGAGGGAUCAUUAAAGGUUUCGGGUACUCAGUGCCCAAACUUCAACCCUAUGUUUUAACUAAACCUGUUUCUUUGCCGGUUUCGACCGGCAGAAGUUUUCUCAAACUCAUUUUAAACAUGUUUUCUGAAUCAAAAACUAAAUGAAUUAAAACUUUCAACAACGGAUCUCUUGGUUCUG
Molecule: unclassified non-coding RNA, 211 nt
Filed under: Lecanoromycetes sp.
Lineage: Eukaryota; Fungi; Ascomycota; Lecanoromycetes
Description: partial contains small subunit ribosomal RNA, internal transcribed spacer 1, and 5.8S ribosomal RNA
Rfam family: Eukaryotic small subunit ribosomal RNA (bases 1-46)
Source: RNAcentral